RNAcentral lists this long non-coding RNA (6001 nucleotides) under Olea europaea (common olive). RNAcentral describes it as "long non-coding RNA (OEUR_LNC001403)". Lineage: Eukaryota; Viridiplantae; Streptophyta; Magnoliopsida; Lamiales; Oleaceae. The record is from RNAcentral.
GUAGCGUGAGCUUAAUUCUGUAUGGUUCAACCAAUUCAAAAUUGCAAUGAAAAUUAGACAAACAAUUGCUUACGGAGUUCAUUAAUUUGAUGUGAUAUGCUUAUCUACAUGAAGAUGCAUUCAUGUUUAAGUUUGAGCAAAGAUUUACCUUUUGCGAAAGCAAUACUGAUUCUAACUACCGUUCAUGUAUGAUGUUGAUCCAUGUAUAUACACAGAUGAGCUGCCACUUCUCUUACAGGGUUUUCAAGGCAGCAUUUUCGAUUUUUUGGUUUCAUUUCUCAAACAUUUCUCAGAAAAAAAUUAUGAGUGAAAUGGUGGUUCCAUAUGUUGAAGAAUGGGAAAGAGUUUUGGCUGACCUAUUAUAAGCAAAUCUUUGAAUAAAGUCUGGAUAGGUUGGUUUUGUUGAAACUUCAAUUGAUCUCUUAUAGGGUUUACAUGGAAGCAUUUUCAAUUUUUGGUUUCAUUUUUCAGUUUUAAACAUUUGUCAAAAAGAAUUUGAUGGGUGAAAUGGUGGAUCCAAAUGUUGAAGAACGGGAAAGUCUUUUUGUUGACUUAUAUCAGCAAAUCUUUGAAUAAAAAGUACAGUACACUCAACUCUAUCUACACCCAAAAUAGAACUCCCUAUGAUGAGGCCACAUUUAUCUAUGCAAUUGAUUGAGCUGCUAACGACAAUUCCUAAAUGGAGCACCAUUUUGAUCAGUCUUGUAAAGUAACACAGCACUAUAUAUAAGAAAUAAAAUGAAAAAUCAAGACUACCUUUUUCCCACAACUUGAAUUUUCUCCAGCUUCUUUGCCACCUCUCAAACCUUACACAAGAUUAUCCUCUUAUAAGACUUCCCAAGACGACGACGUCUGUCCAUCUUACCACCUAGAAGGCCUUUAAAUGAAGUAUUAUCAUAUAAUUCUCUCAAUGGAAGUAUUGGACAAGUAAAGUUGGGUGUGUAAUUUACAUGAGCAUUUAAAUUCAAAGAUGGAUGUAAUGUAUGUUAUCAUGAUAUGCAUUUCCUGUAUGUGUAUCUAUUCUUUUUCUAGAUGGAGCCUGAUUUGUCCUUUUCCAUGGGGCUGUUGGGGCUAGGUUUGAUAUGAGGUGUUUUCUAGGUCUUCAUGGUGAGGUUUUUUGAAGUGGUGAAUAUGACUUUCUAAUCAUUUUGAGGGCUACGACCCAAAUAUUCUAAAUGAUUUGCUUUUAGUUUUCUGCGUGGUGGUCUUUCUUAUGUCAUGCUCUUCCCUCAAAUUAAGCUAUGGACCAUCCACACACCUAUGUACACAUCUAGUAUCUAUCAAUCCAUAUGUAUAUCUAUGUAAAUACGAACGUAUAAUAUGCAUGAAUAAUCCUGUGUGAGUGAGAUCAAGUCUCAUUUUUCGUUUUACUUGUUUUCAGGGUUACAAUGCCCUCAAAGACUACUUCCCAACUAUGGAAAUGAAACCAAAUCCUCAAUGUUCUAAUUCUGCUUGUUUGGAGAGGCAGGUAGGAUGACCUGGAUUUAGGAGUUCUUUCCUUUCUUCAGAAAUAUAUGUAUUAUGCUGUUUCAUUUCAAUAUUACAUCAACUGUGCAGAAAGAAUACGCUCUUGCAAAGCCUGCCAGGGAUGCUGCUGCUAAAGCCAAGAUGGAAGCAGAAGCACCAUCAGAAACAAAGUGCCUCCAUGAAGAUAAUGAAUGGAACAUAAGGUAACUCUUUGGUUGAUUUUUCAUUUUUUAUGUUUGGGCCUCAUUAUUAUCAUCUGUACCUUUUCUCAAUAAUUAUCAAUCUGAUUAAUAAAUCUUCAUGGCACAUUCAUUUGCAUUCUAACUCUCCGAGUCAAUUAUCUUGCCCAUUCCCAGACCCUCUUUACUUCUUGUAGCCUGCCAAGUCCCUCCUCAUGUUCUUGGGAGGCUACUGAUAACUCUUUUUAUCUUUAUUGUAAUUAAGCGUCGUUGAUGAUACUGAUCUGCAAGGCUCAGAUGUUGGAAUAAGUUCAGGUUCUCUCUCUCUACGUGCAUGUUAAACUUGAGUAGAUAUAUGUUACAAAAUAUUCAAAUGGGUCGAGGAAGUAUUUCUUUUCAAAUUGAGUAUGGUAAACAGAAGUUCAUUUAUAACACAUCCUUGGUGAAAAAUGAAGAUAUAGUGACGCUUUCUUUCAGGGACAAAAGUUCAAGUAUGUAACGCUUUGAAAUACUUCAUUGGUUGCUUUUAUGAACCAAAUGCUUUGUUUCAUAUCAAACAUGUCAAAACAGAAUGUUUUCAUUAGGACUUCUUUACGAAGUGUUAUUGGCAACCUAGCUGGUUGUUUACUUCUCUUGAUUAACUUCCAAAAAACAUUUAUAUUUAGGUUCUCUGCCGGAGGGUAUCAUCCACGAGCUUCCAAGUGCAGAUGAGUUUCAAAAACCACCAGUCUCAGAGGAGCCCGCUACCCCGGUCGAUGACCUUGAAGAUCUCAAAAGGCAGCUCGAAGCCCUUAAUGCUGGCUAGUUUGUUCGAACGAUUUGGAAAUAUAAAUGUUUUUUGGAAACUUGAAGACCUCGCUGCCGUUCGAUGAUCUUUACAUUGUGAUUAAAUUUAUUAAACAUUAAGUUUUUGACAAUUCAAAGCCAAUUUUUUACAAAUAUUGGUAGAAUAUUUAACUGAUUAGCAAAUAGCAGUAGUGGAUGGCCAUUUAUUUAAAGUUUAUUACUGAUGGGACAUGUUAGUUGGAGGUACUUGAUACUAUAAAUAAUGAACGAAAUGUCAGACUCUUUUGUUUUAUUUAUUUAUUUAUUUUCAUUUUAAUAUCGAGUAGAGUAUUGUUCAACUCUUUGCCAAAUGUGUUAAUAGGUCUUUGUUACCAAUGUAUCAAUCAAAAUAAAAACAACUAAAUAAGAUAGCAUAUUUUUAUUCAAUAGCAUCAACAAUGCUGUUUACAAGAUACCUAUCUGAUUAAAUCAUCCAAACUUGAUUGAGAUUUAAGAAAGAAAGUUGUUUUAUUUCUUUUACAUGUUUGCUAUGUUCGAUUAGAUACAUUUGUACUCGAUAGACUCCUUCCAGAUGAUAAAAUCGAAACAAUUCAUUACAAUUUACAAAGUUAGUUGAUACACUCGUGCUCUCACACAACCACAACAUGUGCAUUUUGACAAUAAAUUGGACAAUUUCCGCAAAAGAAUGAAAGAUUGGGGCCAAAAUUCUAGAUUUUAUAGAUAGAUGACCAAUUUGCUACUAAAUCUAUAGAUUGAGGACUUAAUUCAAAUUAGGAAAAUUAAGACAGGAUUUUGCAGAAUUUAAGAGAUGCCCUUGUUCAAAUCCAGCCCCCAACUUUCUGACAGAGAAGAUGAACGCUCAGAGCAGCCAACAGCAAUCCAGCGACGGACGCCACGAUGACGAUGCUGCACUCACCGAUUUUCUAGCUUCUUUGAUGGAUUAUACACCCACUGUAAGAAUGAUUACAUGUGUAUAUACAUGCUUUAUUCGCAUACAAAGAUUCUUAUGAAUUGAAAGAUUAUAGUAAAGAUUCAUAUGAAUUGAAAGGUUAUAGUAAUGAUGUUUAAUUUUAAUUGGUAUAGAUUCCAGAUGAACUGGUAGAGCAUUAUUUAGCGAAAAGCGGAUUCCAGUGCCCCGAUGUCCGAUUGUAAGUAUUAAACCCUAAAAAGGUUUUAAAAAAUCUACUGCUAAAAUAAUACCUAAAUUAUCUUUUUGGAUAGUUAUUUAUGUCAGCAAUGUUCUCGAUUUUAUGUAGCUACUGGUAUAAUAUUAGAAAUAUAUAGGGUAAAUAAAUGAAGUUUAGGAAAUCUUUAUGAUGUGUAUUGGUCUUGGCAGAUUAUGUAUUAGACCCUAAAAAAAGUUUUACAAAAUCUACUCCUAAAAUAAUAGCUAAAUAAAUUUUUUAGGUAGUUAUUUAUUUCAGUAUUGUCCUUGAUUUUUUGUAGCUACUGGAAUAAUAUUAGAAAUAUAUAAGGGAAAUAAAUGAAGUUUAGGAAAUCUUUAUGAUGUGUAUGAGUGGUGGCAGAUUAUGUAUUUACCUUCACUAGAUUCAUUUCUAUUAUAAGAAUAUGAUGUGUCCUAUAAUUGGAGAAUUUACGUGCCUCUCUCUAAGCGUAUAUAUGCAAGCCUAUCAAUUGUACCAGAUGGGAAAAAUGUUAUCAAUAAAAAAGGAAGUGGAAUUUGCUUUUUAUUUGUCUAUUAUGUGUGUUUCUUGUAAUGGUACUUCAUUUACUUUAGUUUCCAGCAUUUAAUUAUUCUGUAUUAUUCUUGUUUAUGUGAGAAGGAAAUUGAUCUGUGUAUUUUUCAUUAUCUGGUGAAGUUUUUAAUGAAUAUAUUUAGUUUUGGAAUAUGUGGACUUGUUUUUGUUGGUUUGUUUUGGAUGUCUUAGCUAAACCAAGACCCUCUAUAUGAUAGUUGAGGUGAAAAUAUGCAUUUUAUUUAUUUUUUAAAUAGCUGAUGUGUGUUUCUUUCAUGUUCUUUGUUUGUUUCUCAAUGCGUAGCUCAUUCUGGUUUAUCGUGUUCUGUUUCAUUGUCGUAGGACAAGACUGGUGGCAGUUGCUACACAGAAAUUUGUUGCUGACGUGGCAACUGAUGCUCUUCAGUAUGUGCUUGUUUUCUUCUAUUUGUUUAUUCUCUUUUAAGAUGAAAAUUAGGCUUUCUUUAAUGUUUAACAUUUUGUUAUGCUUUUUUUGCUGGCAUUUAACCAUUCAUUAUUCUUCCUUAAAACUGUUCAAUACUUGUUCUUUUGGUUUCUGAUUUGUUAUGUUGAUGAUGCUCUUGGAAUAUUUUUCUCCUCCGUGUCAAUGCAGGCAGUGUAAGGCAAGGCAGUCAGCUGUCGUCAAGGACAAAAGAGAUAAGCAGCAAAAGGUAAUAUAAAUGUACUUUAUUUUAUCUCAAGUUGUUAUGAAUAGGAUUAAUGCCUCUGUGUAACAGGAUAAGCGACUAAUAUUGACAAUGGAGGAUCUUUCCAAGGCACUGCAGGAGGUAGAUGUCAUAAUUUUUUAUCCAUCAUAUUACUGCAAGGAUCCAUCUUUUGGCAUGAUAUGAAUUUUACUAUUCCCUUUGUGAACUAAUAAACAGUAUUUCAUAAUAUUUUGCUCAUCUCAAUGAUGUAAUUUUGAAUAGAACUAUAGAGGCUAAUGACUUGCAAAAUUACCAAUAACAUAGAAAAAAAAAGUAUAUGAAUAAAUUCACUGUCUCAUUAAUGUUAUUGAAGAUCCUUGGUCCACUAGGACAUGAUUUAGAUAAAGUGAGUCCUCAAAUUAAUUUUCGGAGAUAAAAUAAAGAGGAAAAUCAAAAUUUUCAGAUUCUGACCAUUUUGGAUGCAUGGGCAAACGGAAAGAUGCUUAUUGCUUGCUCGAAAGUUUGCUGAAAUUACUUGCAUACAGUUUCGAAAAAUAUUUCGGUGUUUUGAAGGGGGAUACUUCUCUAUUAAGUUUUGACUGUUAUUUUGGUGUUUUGACAAUUGCUUGUUUAUUCAAUUCUAAGCUAUGUAUACUGUUUUUUGCUAGUUCUGUGUUUAACUUUGUAUUAUUAUGCAUCUUGAACAAUACUCAACCAUUGCAGCACCUGGUUUUGAUGUUCAUAUUCUCAUAACUACCUUUAGAUGGUUCUCUGAUCAUUUUGGUAUUAUAUAUAAUUUUUUUUUUUCAGAUAUUGUAACUUGAUCUUUGUCAUCUAUGUUGCAGUAUGGUGUGAAUGUCAAACAUCAAGAUUAUUUUGCUGAUAGCCCUUCUGCUGGGUUAGAUCCAGCGGCAAGAGAUGAGUGAGUGUAGCGUGAGCUUAAUUCUGUAUGGUUCAACCAAUUCAAAAUUGCAAUGAAAAUUAGACAAACAAUUGCUUACGGAGUUCAUUAAUUUGAUGUGAUAUGCUUAUCUACAUCAAGAUGCAUUCAUGUUUAAGUUUGAGCAAAGAAUUACCUUUUGCGAAAGCAAUACUGAUUCUAACUACCGUUCAUGUAUGAUGUUGAUCCAUGUAUAUACACAGAUGAGCUGCCACUGAAUUUAUUUGUCAAGUGGAAGGUUGGUGUGCAGUACUGGAAAUGACUGAAAAGUUCAUUACAUGUUUA